UAAUACGAGGGGGGCAAGCGUUGUCCGGAAUCACUGGGUGUAAAGGGCUCGCAGGCGGAUCGAUCAGUCACGACUUAAAGACCCCGGCUCAACCGGGGAGCUGGUCGUGAUACUGUCGGUCUUGAGUUCGGUAGAGGGAAGCGGAAUUCCUGGUGUAGCGGUGAAAUGCGUAGAUAUCAGGAGGAACGUCGAAGGCGAAGGCAGCUUCCUGGGCCGAUACUGACGCUGAGGAGCGAAAGCGUGGGGAGCAAACAGGAUUAGGUACCCUGGUAGUCCACGCCGUAAACGAUGAGUACUUGGCGGUGGGGGAUUCGACCCCCUCACUGUCGGAGCUAACGCGUUAAGUACUCCACCUGGGGACUACGACCGCAAGGUUG
This 377-nucleotide ribosomal RNA is filed under the name uncultured bacterium. Its description in RNAcentral is "bacterial SSU rRNA". It matches the Rfam family "Bacterial small subunit ribosomal RNA", at positions 521 to 896 of the family's 1533-position model. The record is from RNAcentral.